GAUGAACGCUGGCGGCGUGCUUAACACAUGCAAGUCGAACGGAAAGGCCCAAGCUUGCUUGGGUACUCGAGUGGCGAACGGGUGAGUAACACGUGGGUGAUCUGCCCUGCACUUCGGGAUAAGCCUGGGAAACUGGGUCUAAUACCGGAUAGGACGAUGGUUUGGAUGCCAUUGUUGAAAGUUUUUUCGGUGUGGGAUGAGCUCGCGGCCUAUCAGCUUGUUGGUGGGGUAAUGGCCUACCAAGGCGUCGACGGGUAGCCGGCAUGAGAGAGUGUACGGCCACAUUGGGACGGAGAUACGGCCCAGACUCCUACGGGAGGCAGCAGUGGGGAAUAUUGCACAAUGGGCGCAAGCCUGAUGCAGCGACGCCGCGUGGGGGAUGACGGCCUUCGGGUUGUAAACUCCUUUCGCUAGGGACGAAGCGUUUUUGUGACGGUACCUGGAGAAGAAGCACCGGCUAACUACGUG
Molecule: ribosomal RNA, 468 nt
Filed under: uncultured bacterium
Lineage: Bacteria
Description: partial 16S ribosomal RNA
Rfam family: Bacterial small subunit ribosomal RNA
Source: RNAcentral